UUUCCUAUAAUAUGGAAAAUCAAAAAGUUUUUCCAUGUUGGAUCUGAAAAACGUCUCAAAAAAACCAUGUCUCAAGUACGCGAUUUUGCCAUGAACAUAGUCAAAGGGAAGAAGGGAGAACUCAAGCAGAACUCUUCCCUCGAAUCCGUCGAUCUCUUGUCGCGAUUCUUGAGCUCUGGCAUUUCCGAUGAGACCUUUGUCACUGAUAUUGUCAUUAGCUUCAUAUUAGCCGGUCGUGACACCACAUCCGCGGCUUUAACAUGGUUUUUCUGGUUACUUUCGAAAAACCCACAGGUAGAAGCUGAAAUUCUUAAAGAAAUACGAGAGAAAUCAGACGUACCCAUUUUCGAAGAAGUAAAGGACAUGGUGUACACCCACGCUUCCUUAUGCGAGACCAUGAGAUUGUACCCUCCAGUUCCUGUGGACUCCAAAAUUGCAGUAAGCGACGACGUUUUGCCUGACGGGACAGCAUUGAAGAAGGGAACUAGAGUCACAUAUCAUCCAUACGCGAUGGGUAG
RNAcentral lists this unclassified non-coding RNA (518 nucleotides) under Hevea brasiliensis (rubber tree). The record is from RNAcentral. Lineage: Eukaryota; Viridiplantae; Streptophyta; Magnoliopsida; Malpighiales; Euphorbiaceae.